This is a non-coding RNA of Misgurnus anguillicaudatus (oriental weatherfish), 1587 nucleotides long. Lineage: Eukaryota; Metazoa; Chordata; Actinopteri; Cypriniformes; Cobitidae. The record is from RefSeq and is a predicted model, not a curated record.
GUCAAACUUAACAGAAGAUGGCUGCUCAUGGUCACAUGGUUUGGCCUCCAUUUUGGAGUUUGCAUGUUUGAGCAGUUUCACUAGCGGCAAAGCUUUACUGACGGAGGCAGAGAGAGAGAGAUGGCAGGCCUGAAACCACAGAGCACACGAGAAAGGAUGAAACGUACUUACAAACAGAAAUAUCCCUUUUAAGCCUCUCUCGUCUGACUGGAAAAGACACAGGGAAUCAGAGAGGAGUGGGAAUUCUGGAAAUCCUGUUCACCGAGCAUUAAUGUACGAAACUGAUUUUUAAAGAGUUUGGUUGGAGAGAGCGUCGCUCACCGCCCCAGAGCCAAUUCGUCUCUGGUUUACACAUGCUGUCCUCUGCGGGCAUCCUGACCCAUUUUCCUCUGGAUAACAAUACUUCAACCAAUCACAGGGAAAACCGAGGAGCAGAACGCCCAAUUCUGCCUGUCAUGCACAGAAGCACGCGGGCCGACUGCGGAGGAGAAAUCUCAGCCUCACCCAGAACGGAGAAAAACCGCAUUGGGGCCUGAUGAAAACGUUACAGCCACUUUGAAUCAUAUUGGUUUCCCGGACAGGGCAAAUCGUAGUCCCAGACUUAAAUGUCUGUUUGCGCUAACACUUUGUACUGACAUAUCUUAACAUGUAUCAGUGCCAUUGUUUUGACUCAAGAUGCACACCAGUUGUAAGGGUUCUUUGUAAAAUCUAAUGUCCAAAUAUAAAAAAACGAUGUCCAAAUAUAAUGCCUAACCCGGAUGAAUCUAAAACAUGUCCAGAAAACCGCCCCAUAAGGUUUUCCUUUACUGUAAGUUUGGGGGCUUGAGCUUUCGUAUUUGUCAAAAUGCAAGAAUUUGCCCAUCUGGAUAAACGCUCUCUUAAUAUGCAGCAUUUAUGAGUAUUUAUGGAGCAGAUUAGCGCUAAUGAAUCUAUUGGUUACUGCUGGGCCUUGUUAGAUUCACCCCAUUAAAUAGGCGUUGGGCUGAAAGCUCGUUUUUCCCUCAGAUUUGUGAUUUUCACAGAACGGUCAGCUUGCUGCUCAAUGGUUUGCAAAAUGUCAACAACACGGAUUGGGAAAACAUGAAAAUUCUCCGCUGUGGCACCAGCUUGGGUUGACGCACCUGCCCUGAGAGAUCGCAGCAAGACGGGUGUGUGUGGAAUGCUAAGGACUCUUUAAACUGCCUGUAGCGGUUUGUUCUGUGGUUUAUCGCAGCAUAGCACAGCCGACUGCAACCGGAUCCUCCCAGAAUCCCUUGCGAAUUAAACCUGUGCAAUACCAAACAAUACUGAAUACACUUUAGCCAUUACACCACAGCAGCCUGCUACAGCAACAAUCUCUAUUGCUAGCCGAUAUAGAAAAUAUUUUAAUUAAUAAAAUAUCUUCAUGAUCUCUGAGCUGUUCACAAUACCUCCAUAUAAAGACGCAAAAAUGAGCAUGUUUACUUCAGCAUGCAGCAUUGUUGUUGUGGAUGAUCAGACUUCUAUUGCAUAAAAUUCAUCAUCAAAGUCAACCAAUCAGGUGGUGACCUUAUCCUUAUGCAUUAUGAUUUGUUAUCUUCAUUGAUAAAAUUCUAGUUUGAAUGCUAA